This 289-nucleotide unclassified non-coding RNA is filed under the name uncultured fungus. RNAcentral describes it as "partial contains small subunit ribosomal RNA, internal transcribed spacer 1, and 5.8S ribosomal RNA". The stretch from base 1 to 73 matches the Rfam family "Eukaryotic small subunit ribosomal RNA", at positions 1759 to 1831 of the family's 1831-position model. The record is from RNAcentral. Lineage: Eukaryota; Fungi.
GCAAACUUGGUCAUUUAGAGGAAGUAAAAGUCGUAACAAGGUCUCCGUUGGUGAACCAGCGGAGGGAUCAUUACCGAGUCAUCACGCUCAAGCCCCCUGUGAACCUUACCGCGUCGUUGCCUCGGCGGGGGAUUCGUCCCCCGGCGCCGUCCGGGACGGGCGCCCCCGCCUGAGGACACAAAAACUCUUGUUCCCGCACGGCGGCAUCGUCUGAGUUAGUGGCAUUAGCGAAUGAAUCAAAACUUUCAACAACGGAUCUCUUGGUUCUGGCAUCGAUGAAGAACGCAGC